GGGAAUAUGUCAGUGGUAAGAGUACAUGCUUAGCAUGCAUGAGGUUCUGGGUUCAACCCCCAGUAUCUUUA
Molecule: transfer RNA, 71 nt
Filed under: Camelus ferus (Wild Bactrian camel)
Lineage: Eukaryota; Metazoa; Chordata; Mammalia; Artiodactyla; Camelidae
Rfam family: tRNA
About the family: Transfer RNA (tRNA) molecules are approximately 80 nucleotides in length.
Source: Rfam by way of RNAcentral